RNAcentral lists this ribosomal RNA (406 nucleotides) under uncultured bacterium. RNAcentral describes it as "partial 16S ribosomal RNA". It matches the Rfam family "Bacterial small subunit ribosomal RNA", at positions 30 to 526 of the family's 1533-position model. The record is from RNAcentral.
AUUGAACGCUGGCGGCAGGCCUAACACAUGCAAGUCGAACGAGCGGCGGACGGGUGAGUAAUGUAUGGGAAUCUGGCUUAUGGAGGGGGAUAACGACGAGAAACGGUCGCUAAUACCGCGUACCAUCGGAUGAGCCAAUGUGGGAUUAGGUAGUGGGUGGGGUAAUGGUAUACCAAGGCGACGAUGCCUAGCUGGUCUGAGAGGAUGAUCAGCCAACCGGGGACUGAGACACGGCCCGGACUCCUACGGGAGGCAGCAGUGGGGAAUAUUGCGAAAUGGGCGCAAGCCUGAUGCAGCCAUGCCGCGUGAAUGAAGAAGGCUUUCGGGUUGUAAAGUUCUUUCGGUGAGGAGGCGUUACCUACAGAAGAAGCACCGGCUAACUCCGUGCCAGCAGCCGCGGUAAUAC